CACGCCCCACCCCAUCAACUGUCACAGUUCGGGAGGCGGGCAGAGCUCUCACCGCAGUCCCUGCUCUGCCACGGCCACACAGCGGCAGCCACCACCAGGAGAGUCAAUGCCAUGGAAUUGUUUGUUGAAAGCACUGAGGCUAAGAUGUUCCAGCUUCGACAUUUUGCCAAAUUCUGGGCAAAUGGGCAUGGCUGUAUAGUUAUUGUAUGAGAGAUCUAGAUACUGGAGACUUGCAACGAGAUGGCAAGAAAGAGUCGACAAGUUGUUGUGGGAAAGAUCAAG
Hemicordylus capensis (graceful crag lizard) is the source of this 282-nucleotide long non-coding RNA. RefSeq lists it as uncharacterized. The transcript has 3 exons. Lineage: Eukaryota; Metazoa; Chordata; Lepidosauria; Squamata; Cordylidae. The record is from RefSeq and is a predicted model, not a curated record.